This 301-nucleotide ribosomal RNA is filed under the name uncultured bacterium. Its description in RNAcentral is "partial 16S ribosomal RNA". It matches the Rfam family "Bacterial small subunit ribosomal RNA", at positions 509 to 807 of the family's 1533-position model. The record is from RNAcentral.
CAGCCACCGCGGGAAUACGUAGGUGGCAAGCGUUGUCCGGAAUUAUUGGGCGUAAAGGGCUCGCAGGCGGUUUCUUAAGUCUGGUGUGAAAGCCCCCGGCUCAACCGGGGAGGGUCAUUGGAAACUGGGAAACUUGAGUGCAGAAGAGGAGAGUGGAAUUCCACGUGUAGCGGUGAAAUGCGUAGAGAUGUGGAGGAACACCAGUGGCGAAGGCGACUCUCUGGUCUGUAACUGACGCUGAGGAGCGAAAGCGUGGGGAGCGAACAGGAUUAGAUACCCCAGUAGUCCCUGUCUCUUAUAC